Molecule: ribosomal RNA, 468 nt
Filed under: uncultured bacterium
Lineage: Bacteria
Description: partial 16S ribosomal RNA
Rfam family: Bacterial small subunit ribosomal RNA
Source: RNAcentral
GACGAACGCUGGCGGCGUGCUUAACACAUGCAAGUCGAACGGAAAGGCCCUGCGUUUGUGGGGUGCUCGAGUGGCGAACGGGUGAGUAACACGUGAGUAACCUGCCCUUGACUUUGGGAUAACUUCAGGAAACUGGGGCUAAUACCGGAUAGGAGCUCCUGCUGCAUGGUGGGGGUUGGAAAGUUUCGGCGGUUGGGGAUGGACUCGCGGCUUAUCAGCUUGUUGGUGAGGUAGUGGCUUACCAAGGCUUUGACGGGUAGCCGGCCUGAGAGGGUGACCGGCCACAUUGGGACUGAGAUACGGCCCAGACUCCUACGGGAGGCAGCAGUGGGGAAUAUUGCACAAUGGGCGGAAGCCUGAUGCAGCAACGCCGCGUGCGGGAUGACGGCCUUCGGGUUGUAAACCGCUUUCGCCUGUGACGAAGCGUGCGUGACGGUAAUGGGUAAAGAAGCACCGGCUAACUACGUG